GUUUAAUAUUUUUUUUGCUUUUCAAUUAUCUCCAUCGAAUUUAUGCCUGCAUCAUCGGCCGUACAAAUAUUCGGAGAGAAACAUUUGAAUGGGGCUAAGAUUUUUCUGAAUGAGGUUAGUAAGAUAACUAAAAAAGUAGUGUUUAUUAUUACGUUGAAAGCGGCUGCUUGAAAAGAAUAGGUACUCCGGAUGGGCUAAACAAUCAGACCGAGCAUGUGGUAGAUGCGUGAAGCAAAGCAGCUAGAGGUCUGCAUCUUCACUCAACCCCUUGUCCUCUCCAAGAAGCAACAGUAUUCGGUGGGUCAUGAGUAAUGACACUUGGAAGAAGCCUCAGUGAGGCACAAUUCAGAACGGUAUCGACGCAUAUCCGUGGCAUCUCCAGCAUAGAUAUCCAAUUUUAACUCAAUUUUUUUUUCAUGGAGAAUGUCAAUUAACCUCACAAAUUUAGAGGUAAUGUUAUCUUAAACACUACAAAGUACACAAUCGAUCAUUUGUCAUUUAGUCAUUAUUCUGGCUAAAGGGCUAAUAUAAACAGAACAAACGAUCGAUUGAACGGAACAAUAUGUAGCAUGUAAAUGGGGCUAAUUGACCAUUUAAGCGAACAUUGCCUAGAAGACACAAGUGCAGUGGAAAUUUUCUACUGGAAAAUGCUGCGAUGGACUUGCGCAAACCUAGAAAAAAAAUAUUUACAUUUUCUGCUUUGGUGAAUAUACCAACAAUCCAAUACAUAAUAUAAAGUUUAUUCUGUCAGUUAGUCGAAUAUUUGUCCUAGUUUAACGUACUCACUUGCAAAAUCUUAACUAUUUGCUGAAUUAUUCUCUAUUUCUCUACGCCUGGCCCUGCUACAAAAGAUACUGCCUAGUUUUGUUUAAAGCACAAUAUACUACUACAUAAUGCAUUUUUAUAUCUCAUUUUCGAAACUGAGAAUACAUUUUCUGGUUUCGCUGUAUAUGAUUGGGAGGAUUAGGUAUAUAGCCCUGGAAAAAAAAACUUGUCUUAGGUAUAUGAUCCUUUUUUUCGAAUUUGGCUUUAUGGCCUCAAAACAAAAUUUAUUUAGCUCUAUAGCCUUCUGUCAGUUUUGGGCAACUAACAGUGUUAAGUCAGAGGUAAAAAGACUAUUUUACCCCUAGGAAAAACAAUAGAAAAACAUAUAUAUAUGGAAACGUACAUGUGGUUAGUAUUGGAAAUAUACAUGUAGUUAUGUGAUAAUAUAUUUUUGCCAGGGGUAAAACGGUCUUUUUACCCCUGAAGCUGUCCAAAACUGACAAGGCUAUAUAGCCAAAUAAAUUUUGUUUUGAGAUCAUAGAACCAAAUUCGAAAAAAAGGCAUAUUCAAGUUUUCUCCAAGGCCAUACACCUAAUUCGAUUCGUGCAUGUACAGGUUUUUCCUCUUCUAUGGUGCGUGAACUUUGGGUGAAUGACGCUAACAUUGCUACACAAAACACUUUGAACAACGCUCGCUUUCGUCUCAUCAAUUGGCUUGCAGGUUGAAACGUAGAUUAAUUCAUUCAAUGGCGGGCAAUUAAACCCCCAAACGGUUUAGCGCAAGGCCACGCUUUGCUGCGGCGGCGAGCAGGAGG
Molecule: long non-coding RNA, 1579 nt
Filed under: Sorghum bicolor (sorghum)
Lineage: Eukaryota; Viridiplantae; Streptophyta; Magnoliopsida; Poales; Poaceae
Description: long non-coding RNA (SBIC_LNC004101)
Source: RNAcentral